ACCACCCCCCCUCCAUCGCGUUGCCGCUGCCACACAAUGGCAUACAAGCGAUGAAAACAGAUCCGGUGUUGUGAUGUUAAAUGUGUGGAAUGUAAUAGUAAGAGCACGCCAGUCCAUGUUACUAUCGAAGUCCAUGUGAACGAGCGGCGUUAAAACGGGUCUUUUUUCAACGGAGUUCGGCGCGGAGCUGUGUGCGUGUGUGUGGUUACGACGGAGCAGCAUUACAUCACUUCCAGCAAACUUCACCGACAACAAACGACGGCGAUUUUUGCCCACUUUGAGCCAACAUCCUCUCACAGAUGUAUCGAUUUAGUGCGGAGGUGAGCGCCGACUGGCAGCCCAGCAAGCUAACGUCAUGAAGGAGUUGUAACGGUCGCCGCGUUCAAACGUCCUACACGCAGCGGCCGCGGCUUGGCCGGGUCCUUCCGGCCGGUGGAGGCGGCUCACCUGAGGCAGCAGUCCGGAGGGAGAGCCGGGAAGCUCGGCCGGCAGCACCGGGGAGGAGAAGGCAGCAAACAGGCAAUCAUGGCGCCACGACGCCGACAUAGGAAAAGGAGCUCGAGUUUUCCAAGUGUAAUCCUGAGUGUGGCACCAGCAAAGCAGUGAGGGUUCAGAGGUCACAGCAUGAGGACAAGGGUGAUUAGAGGGCCACUGAAGCGUGAACAUGGACGCCGCUUGAAAAGAGGAACAUGCCAAAUGAAGAAAUACGAGGUUAUUGUCCAUGACGUCCUUUGUUAGCCCGCUCAUAAACAAUCAAUGCUGUCAUGUGGAAUAUAUUUGGCCCCCCAACCCCCAUUAAAAAAUACCACAUACCAGAGUUUCAUCAAACUUAGCGGAGUUCCACAGGGCGCCCUUUGAGACGGUUCCUGUCCCUCUCGGCCCUGUCAGCUGUGUUAUGUCAAAAGAGUUCAGCCAAGUGAGAACAUUCAGCUAAAAGACAAAAGGCCAUAAUGGGAGGUGGCGCAGCGUCCUGCUUGUUACGCUCACAUUCCUAAAGGAAAAUUCAUGACGGUUGUCAACAUGGAACUUCUUUAUCCUGAAGCCAUACAUGCCAGCUUUCUUUUGAUCGGUGACUGACGUGAAUGACUACUUUGUUUUUUUUUUCCAUUCUACACUAAUGUUCACACUGUCAUCUAAAUGUAUGAUAUUUCAAUUUUAACUGCUUCACCCUUUGAUAGACUCACAUUCUUCCUACAUUGAGAUGACAAUGAUGAGUCAAGGAAGAAUGUUGUUAUUAUUAUAAUUAUUAAUAACUACACUGCAAUACAAAAUGUAAAUAAAGCUCAAAGCUAAAUAUAUGCAGAAAUGAUAUAUAUAUAAAAUAUAGAGAAAAAUUUACAUAUGCUCUAAAUAUCCAUCGGUGUACACUGUGUAUACGCUGAUGCGUGCACGUGUGUCUCAUAUGACUGCAAGAGCAAACAUUACAGGUGUGAGGAUGAUGUCAUGCAGGAAGUGCACCACUCAAAUGAGGGUGACUACACACUCAAUUUACAUCCAACAGAUACAAGUGUGUGUGCGUGUGUGUGUGUACGCGCACGUGUGUGUGCUGGUUGCAGUUAAAUCUGAUCAGUUUUUCAACAAGUCUAAACUACAUCAUACACACAGUAUAUACUGUAUAUACACAGAGCAUAUUUACAUACAGUAUCAUACAU
Long non-coding RNA from Dunckerocampus dactyliophorus (ringed pipefish), 1652 nucleotides. RefSeq lists it as uncharacterized. The transcript is spliced from 3 exons. NCBI's taxonomy places the organism in Eukaryota, Metazoa, Chordata, Actinopteri, Syngnathiformes, Syngnathidae. The record is from RefSeq and is a predicted model, not a curated record.